CUUGUACUCCCUCUGUUCCGAAUUACUACUUGUCUUGGAUUUGUCUAGAUACGGAUGUAUCUAGACUCAUUUUAGUGCUAGAUACCUCUAUAUCUAGAUAAAUCUAAGACAAGUAAUUCGGAACGAAGAGAGUACGAU
Molecule: non-coding RNA, 138 nt
Organism: Triticum urartu
Lineage: Eukaryota; Viridiplantae; Streptophyta; Magnoliopsida; Poales; Poaceae
Source: Rfam